UCCACAGCUUCUCUGGGCAGCCUGUGUCAGUGUCUCACCACCUUAAGUAAAAAAUUUCCUCCUAACAUCCAGUCUACAUCUCCCCACUUCUAAAUUAAAGCUGUUGCCCCUUGUUCUGUCACUGUCUAUCUGCUUGGGGACUUUUCUGGGAUUUUUUUCCUGUAAAGCAGCUAGAAUAUGUGUUAAUGAGAUCUCUGAUUUUUGCGAAAAUUUCAGUUGGAUAUAAAACUUAAGAACCAGUUAAGAACCAGUUUACAGUAAGGGAAGUGGUAGAUGGAACACUUGGGUACAGAAACUAGGAUCUGUGUGUAUUACUGGAUUACCAAUGAUUUUGAUUUUUUGAUGAACUUGCUAGGACUUUGCAUAUUAAUAGCUGUUUUGCUUCAGGGACAAAUAACAAUAUAAACUAUAUUUCAGAACAGGUCAAAUAUGGACUCUGAAAAAUAUGAUUUUCCAUUUAUUUUAUGAGCACUUGAAUAUGGGAAAAUGAUGGGCAGUUGGGGACAAAACAUCUAAAUGAAUUUUUUAUGCAGCAGCCUCAGAAGUGGAAGUAUUUAGGCAAAACCAUUGUUAUUUUCUGCCAAAAAGACUUUUUAAAAUAUGCCAGUGACUGUAAUAGACUUCAGACAAUUAAGAGCCCGAUGGGUUCUGCUUUCCCAUUUGUGGCUGAGUAGAAAUAGAACCUAUAGUUUCCUACAUAUUGAAGUUCAAAUUUAGAAGUCUUAGCUCUGUAUCUUUGGUCUGCUGGGGUAACAGAAAGGAGAUAGGAAGAUAUGGUUGUUUAUCUUUGCUAGGCUUAGGGACUUUUCUUUAACAUGGUAAGAAAUCAAAACUAUUUGUGUUAAAUUUAGCUCGAUAAAAGUUUGAGGUUUGACCCAAGGUAUGUUUUCAGCCCGUACACUUAGCUACAUAAUUCAUCAGUUAUGCUAGGAGAUAAAAGCUCAUUCAUUCAUUUAUUUAGUCCUUCAUUGGUUUCUUUUGGAGGAACAGGAGAGCAACAUAUUAUGGUGAAGGCAUUUGUGGAACAUGAGAACGUAGAAUGGGAAUUGCCUUCUGGAAGGACAUCCGCACAGUACCGUAAUUAAGCUUCCAAGAGAAACAGUGAACAUAUGAUACACAGUUUGUGUAUUAAACAUUGUACAUAUUUACAUUUUUUUAUGUUAUAUUUUAAUACUGAGUGAAAAAAUGUAGAACUGACUGCUUCUCCAACCCGUGGACUGUUUCAGCUUACAUAAUAAACCUGCACCCAAGACUAAAUAAACAAAAUCUGCUAUCCUAUGGUUUUUAUCUUGUUACAGCCGAUGAUUUCUGCUAAAGCUAGAAAAAAAACCUUCCACUGAAUUUAAUUUAUGAAGCUGCUAAAUAGAUUACCAUUUUCCUUUUAUGGUGCUUUUUUUUCUAGAAAAUUCUGAUUUAACCAGAUUUCAGUCCUACUGCAAACCAAAAUAAUCACACUAAUUUAAAAUCCCUGUUAUGGGUAUUGUGUGAAUAGACAGUCCUACAGCACCUGGCUAUCGAUCAAGCACUGUGCAGGGAUUUUGUUUGAAACAACCAUUUGUCAUGAAAAAGAAAUUCAGAAUUCUGUAUGAAGUUGGAGCAGCCUUGUGGUCUCAGCAUUUCGUGAGAUUUGAAUGCAAAGAUCUGGCAGUUCUCAGAAAUCCACAGUCCAAAGUGCUGAACUUCUCCAAGGUAGAUAGAAGAGACUGGAAUACUGCAUUUCUAACAGUUGAGAGUAUGCUUAUAGGUAAGUUUAGCCUGUACCUACCUCUGCAGCAGUGAGGUCAAAAAGUGAAUAAACAAGGAUAGCAUUAAUAGAUUGCAAAUUUAUUUGUUAAUGCCUUGCUAUUGGGAAGCUGUUGGUACGAUGUUUAGUAAUAUAAAUCAUCAAGGUAAGGUUUGAAGUAUUUAGGAAAGAUUUGGUGCUUCAUUGGGUCUGUUAGUGAAGAAAUUUGGACUUAUUUAUAAGAAACAAUCAAGUAAUUUCUUGAGAUUCAGUCAUAUAGCUAUUGCUCCUGGAAUCUGCAAAUAGUGAGGCAACACAGAGUAGAAGCUGCAACAGGUCAAUUGCUGCCAGUUCUAAUAACUUUUCCCAGAACAGAUGCUUGGAAUGAAAUUACAGCCAUUUCUCUGGCAUUGGUAUUAAAAAUCACUGUUACAAAAUUAUAGAUUUCUACAUUGUGUAUGCACGUGUACUGUCUAGUGUAGAAAUAUUAAUUUAAAAGUUGUGCAGUGAAGCCUACCACAGCCUCUCUCUCCAGUCCUUUAAGCCAGCUGAGAAAAUGUAGUAUGACCUUCAUUGCAUGCACGUAUCCAGAAAUCUAUCUCAGUAACUUCUAUGUUGACGUUUUCCACAACUGUAUUUCCUAGUGAUGUGACCAUAAAAUGCUGCAAGUAGUGUCUACCCAACUUCAUGUGUUUCUAAGACCACUUGUUAAUGCCAUUAUUGAAGGAAAAUGCCCUAACUAGAGAAAAAAGAUAUGUCUUAUGGAUAUCAGAUGUGGAAAAUAAGAACAAAACAGGAGUGGAUCCUCUAAUACUAGAGUUCUCAUGCCACUUUUCAUAGUUGUAAUUUUCAUAUUUUGUAUCCGAACAUACUUAUCUCUGUCACAAUCAAUGUGAACUCUGAUAUUUUGAGUUUCUCUACAUUUUCUGCUGCUUAAGUGUAGUUUGUAAUGGUAUCAUUUGAAUGCAAAGUCACUCUUGAUGUAACCCAUUGAAAAGCAAGCUAUUGAUGCAUACAGAAAUACUUGUUAGUAUUAUUUAAGCGUAUAUUUAAUUCUGCAAUGUUUUUGAAACUAUUAGGAAAUGUAAUAAUGUUACUGACAAGCUUAGUAUAAUUUAGUUUUCUUCUGGCUGUGUAGAUAGAACAAAUAUUUAUUUUAUGUCCUGCCUUAGAGGGGAAAGUGAUGUAAAUUUUGUCUUGCAUUUUGAUCUGUUUUCCAUAUGUGUGUCCAUACUGUGCUCUAUUUAAAGCGAAAAGGGUUGUCUGAAAACAAAUUAAUGUGUUUUUAGUCUGAUUAGAGUGUGAUAUGACUGACAAGUUAAACACAGAUUUUAAUAAAUAGUUUGUUCAUUACUAAUGAGAAUAUGCAGCUUACCAAGGCUGGAAAAACUAGAACUGACUGAACUUAUUUGAACUUUACCUGCUCUUGUACAGAUACCUGAUCAAAGUCUGUGGGUCUUAGAUGCUCAGUGCUCAGGUAAAUUUCAGUAAACUUCUAAAUCUGUAGUUUUAGUUUUCUAAAUUGGAAUUUUAGCCUUAAUCAAUCUGUUGCUGUACUUCUAAAUGUUUCUUAUAAUCUGUGUUGCAUGCAUCAGUCUAGAAAAAUUAGAAUGGAAUUUAGUAUAGUCAAGUAGUAUUGUUAGUGGAGAUCCUGAAUGAUACUUGACUGCGAUAGGCAUACAACUCCGUUUUCUUUGACUCUUAUUUUUUGUUUUCCUUUGCUAAUGCAAAUAAUAAUAAUAAUAAACAUGCUGUAAAGGCAUA
Molecule: long non-coding RNA, 3487 nt
Organism: Lagopus leucura (white-tailed ptarmigan)
Lineage: Eukaryota; Metazoa; Chordata; Aves; Galliformes; Phasianidae
Exons: 2
Source: RefSeq, a predicted model, not a curated record